GGGUGUAGCUCAGUGGUAGACUGAAUGCCUAGAACGCAUGAGGUCCUGGGUUCAAGCCCCAGUACCUCCA
Transfer RNA from Camelus ferus (Wild Bactrian camel), 70 nucleotides. It matches the Rfam family "tRNA". Rfam says of the family: Transfer RNA (tRNA) molecules are approximately 80 nucleotides in length. Their secondary structure includes four short double-helical elements and three loops (D, anti-codon, and T loops). The record is from Rfam. Lineage: Eukaryota; Metazoa; Chordata; Mammalia; Artiodactyla; Camelidae.